UCCGAGUUGACCCCGGCAGUCUCCUAUGAGUCCCCGCCAUAACGCGCAGGCAACAUGGAACGAGGGUUGCGCUCGUUGCGGGACUUAACCCAACAUCUCACGACACGAGCUGACGACAGCCAUGCAGCACCUCUAUGGCGGCCCCCGAAGGGGAAGCCCUGUUUCCAGGACGGUCCACCACAGUUCAAGCCCAGGUAAGGUUCUUCGCGUUGCAUCGAAUUAAACCACAUGCUCCACCGCUUGUGCGGGCCCCCGUCAAUCCCUUUAUGUUUUAGUCUUGCGACCGUACUCCACAGGCGGGAUACUUAACGCGUUAGCUUCGCUACUGAAGGGGUCGAUACCUCCAACAGCUAGUAUCCAUCGUUUACGGCGUGGACUAC
This 380-nucleotide unclassified non-coding RNA is filed under the name uncultured bacterium. Its description in RNAcentral is "contains 16S-23S intergenic spacer region". The record is from RNAcentral.